Long non-coding RNA from Homo sapiens (human), 670 nucleotides. Ensembl annotates it as PROX1 antisense RNA 1. Its record names the gene PROX1-AS1. The record is from Ensembl. NCBI's taxonomy places the organism in Eukaryota, Metazoa, Chordata, Mammalia, Primates, Hominidae.
UUACCACCUAAGCUCUGCCUCCUGUCAGAUCAGUGGUGGCAUUAGAUUCUCAUAGGUGCUCAAACCCUUUCAUGAACUGUGUAUGUGAGGAAUCUAAGUUGCAUGCUCCUUAUGAGAAGCUAACGCCUGAUGAUUAUCACUGUCUCCCAUCAUCUCCAGAUGGGACCGUCUAGUUGCAGGAAAACAAGCUCAGGGCUCCCACUGAUUCUACAUUAUGCUAUUCACAGAUCAUCAUCAGCCAGAGGUGACUUCUGUUGCUUGCAGCUCAGAAUCCUAGAUGUUUCCGGUGGCACUGAAGAGCCUCUGCUGAAGCUCUAUACCAUUUGCCAUUUACAAAGGGAAAUGAAAUAAUAACGCUGACCAUUUGUGGAGCACAUUCUGUCUGGAGGCAAAGGAUGCCAAGAUGGGAAAGCCACAUAAUGGAAGGAUCCUGGAUUUCAGAGCUGUCACUUGGAGGAGGGGCACCCAGUGAAGGUGUCUUAUCUAACCCACACCAUAUCUUCAUGAAGUGGCCAUAUGGAUUUGAUCCCUAUCCUUCAGAGGUGCUCAGCCUAAGGGAACACGGAUAGUAGAUUAAGCACUGACCAGAGCCAGCCUUGACAAUGUGCUGAUGGCAACCUAGAACAUAAGCAGAGGAGUAUACAGGACAAGAACUUGAUGGUCUCGGGAA